Molecule: long non-coding RNA, 217 nt
Organism: Phyllostomus discolor (pale spear-nosed bat)
Lineage: Eukaryota; Metazoa; Chordata; Mammalia; Chiroptera; Phyllostomidae
Exons: 3
Source: RefSeq, a predicted model, not a curated record
CAUGUCUCCUUCAGAGUUUAUUUGGCAAAACAUCAAAUCACCCAGGUGACUCAACUCCCCUACAGCCCAUGUUUGGUACCCUGUGACACCUGGCUUUUCCCAAAACUAAAAUCACCUUUGAAAGAGAAGAGAUUUCAGACCAUCAAUGAGAUUCAGGAAAUUACAAGGGGUUAUCUGAUGGCGAUUGGGAGAACUGUGUGGAGUCCCAAGGUGCCUA